RNAcentral lists this long non-coding RNA (319 nucleotides) under Dromaius novaehollandiae (emu). RNAcentral describes it as "lncRNA (ENSDNVG00000001038.1)". Lineage: Eukaryota; Metazoa; Chordata; Aves; Casuariiformes; Dromaiidae. The record is from RNAcentral.
UCACUCCUGCUGGAUGAAGAAAUAUAGACAUUGCACUUUUAAACACUGCAACGAGAGCUGUGCCUAAGGAGCAGGAUUUCAUAUUCAGAGAAAAAAAUUUUUGCAGACAGGCACUGGAAGACAUCUGUGACAAGCCUGUGUGGAAUAAGUGAUAACGCCUUCUGAAAUGUUUGCAAAAGCAAGUCACCUGCUGUUUGCCAGUGACCACUGCUCUCUUCAGUGGGAUGAGCAAGGUUGUACAGAGCCAAAUGAUGGCGAAGAUUCGGAGAAGCAUUAAAAUAUGUGCUAAAAGGUAAACAAUAAAAAUGAUUGCAAAUCU